RNAcentral lists this ribosomal RNA (301 nucleotides) under uncultured bacterium. RNAcentral describes it as "partial 16S ribosomal RNA". It matches the Rfam family "Bacterial small subunit ribosomal RNA", at positions 509 to 809 of the family's 1533-position model. The record is from RNAcentral.
CAGCAGCCACGGGAACACGAAGGGUGCAAGCGUUAAUCGGAAUUACUGGGCGUAAAGCGUGCGUAGGCGGUGAGUUAAGUCUGCUGUGAAAUCCCCGGGCUCAACCUGGGAAUGGCAGUGGAUACUGGCUCGCUAGAGUGUGUCAGAGGAUGGUGGAAUUCCCGGUGUAGCGGUGAAAUGCGUAGAGAUCGGGAGGAACAUCAGUGGCGAAGGCGGCCAUCUGGGCCAACACUGACACUGAGGCACGAAAGCGUGGGGAGCAAACAGGAUUAGAUACCCCAGUAGUCCCUGUCUCUUAUAA